GCAAGUCGAACGAUGAAGCUGGAGCUUGCUCCGGUGGAUUAGUGGCGAACGGGUGGGUAACACGUGAGCAAUCUGCCCUUGACUCUGGGAUAACUGCGGGAAACUGUAGCUAAUACCGGAUACGAGACUUGGAGGCAUCUCCAGGUCUGGAAAGAAUUUCGGUCAAGGAUGAGCUCGCGGCCUAUCAGCUAGUUGGUGAGGUAAUGGCUCACCAAGGCGACGACGGGUAGCCGGCCUGAGAGGGUGACCGGCCACACUGGGACUGAGACACGGCCCAGACUCCUACGGGAGGCAGCAGUGGGGAAUAUUGCACAAUGGGCGAAAGCCUGAUGCAGCAACGCCGCGUGAGGGAUGAAGGCCUUCGGGUUGUAAACCUCUUUUAGCAGGGAAGAAGCGAAAGUGACGGUACCUGCAGAAAAAGCACCGGCUAACUACGUGCCAGCAGCCGCGGUAAUACGUAGGGUGCAAGCGUUGUCCGGAAUUAUUGGGCGUAAAGAGCUCGUAGGCGGUUUGUCGCGUCUGCUGUGAAAAUCCGAGGCUCAACCUCGGACUUGCAGUGGGUACGGGCAGACUAGAGUGCAGUAGGGGAGAAGGGAAUUCCUGGUGUAGCGGUGGAAUGCGCAGAUAUCAGGAGGAACACCGAUGGCGAAGGCACUUCUCUGGGCUGUAACUGACGCUGAGGAGCGAAAGCGUGGGGAGCGAACAGGAUUAGAUACCCUGGUAGUCCACGCCGUANACGUUGGGCGCUAGAUGUGGGCCACAUUCCACGUGGUCCGUGUCGCAGCUAACGCAUUAAGCGCCCCGCCUGGGGAGUACGGCCGCAAGGCUAAAACUCAAAGGAAUUGACGGGGGCCCGCACAAGCGGCGGAGCAUGCGGAUUAAUUCGAUGCAACGCGA
RNAcentral lists this ribosomal RNA (897 nucleotides) under uncultured Actinomycetales bacterium. RNAcentral's name for it is "bacterial SSU rRNA". It matches the Rfam family "Bacterial small subunit ribosomal RNA", at positions 57 to 964 of the family's 1533-position model. The record is from RNAcentral. Lineage: Bacteria; Bacillati; Actinomycetota; Actinomycetes; Actinomycetales.